Molecule: transfer RNA, 73 nt
Filed under: Ixodes scapularis (black-legged tick)
Lineage: Eukaryota; Metazoa; Arthropoda; Arachnida; Ixodida; Ixodidae
Rfam family: tRNA
About the family: Transfer RNA (tRNA) molecules are approximately 80 nucleotides in length. Their secondary structure includes four short double-helical elements and three loops (D, anti-codon, and T loops). Further hydrogen bonds mediate the characteristic L-shaped molecular structure. tRNAs have two regions of fundamental functional importance: the anti-codon, which is responsible for specific mRNA codon recognition, and the 3' end, to which the tRNAs corresponding amino acid is attached (by aminoacyl-tRNA synthetases). tRNAs cope with the degeneracy of the genetic code in two manners: having more than one tRNA (with a specific anti-codon) for a particular amino acid; and 'wobble' base-pairing, i.e. permitting non-standard base-pairing at the 3rd anti-codon position.
Source: Rfam by way of RNAcentral
CCCUGGUUAACUCAGUUGGUAGAGCGCUCCGCUGUAAAUGGAGUGGUUACGGGUUCGAUGCCCGGAAUAGGCG